This 67-nucleotide transfer RNA is filed under the name Manis crassicaudata (Indian pangolin). Its description in RNAcentral is "tRNA-Trp". The record is from RNAcentral. Lineage: Eukaryota; Metazoa; Chordata; Mammalia; Pholidota; Manidae.
AGGGACUUAGGUUACACAGACCAAGAGCCUUCAAAGCUCUAAGCAAAUACAGACUAUUUAGUCCCUG